RNAcentral lists this ribosomal RNA (224 nucleotides) under uncultured bacterium. RNAcentral describes it as "partial 16S ribosomal RNA". It matches the Rfam family "Bacterial small subunit ribosomal RNA", at positions 126 to 334 of the family's 1533-position model. The record is from RNAcentral.
CUACCUUCGAAUUGGGGAUAACGUUGCGAAAGUGACGCUAAUACCGAAUGAUAUCAUAAGGACUUUGGUUCUUUUGAUCAAAGAUGGCCUCUCCUUGGAAGCUAUUGUUUGAAGAUGAGCCCGCGUCCCAUUAGCUUGUUGGUGGGGUAAUGGCCUACCAAGGCAGCGAUGGGUAGCUGGUCUGAGAGGAUGAUCAGCCACACUGGAACUGACGCACGGUCCAG